Molecule: ribosomal RNA, 253 nt
Filed under: uncultured bacterium
Lineage: Bacteria
Description: partial 16S ribosomal RNA
Rfam family: Bacterial small subunit ribosomal RNA
Source: RNAcentral
UACGUAGGGUGCGAGCGUUACUCGGAAUUACUGGGCGUAAAGCGUGCGCAGGCGGUUUUGUAAGCCAGAUGUGAAAUCCCCGGGCUUAACCUGGGAAUGGCAUUUGGGACUGCAAGGCUUGAGUGCGGCAGAGGAGACUGGAAUUCCUGGUGUAGCAGUGAAAUGCGUAGAUAUCAGGAGGAAUACCGAUGGCGAAGGCAGGGCUCUGGGCUGACACUGACGCUCAGGCACGAAAGCGUGGGGAGCAAACAGG